This 454-nucleotide ribosomal RNA is filed under the name uncultured bacterium. RNAcentral describes it as "bacterial SSU rRNA". It matches the Rfam family "Bacterial small subunit ribosomal RNA", at positions 340 to 786 of the family's 1533-position model. The record is from RNAcentral.
UACGGAAGGCAGCAGUGGGGAAUAUUGCACAAUGGGCGCAAGCCUGAUGCAGCCAUGCCGCGUGUAUGAAGAAGGCCUUCGGGUUGUAAAGUACUUUCAGCGGGGAGGAAGGCGGUGGAGUUAAUAGCUUCACCGAUUGACGUUACCCGCAGAAGAAGCACCGGCUAACUCCGUGCCAGCAGCCGCGGUAAUACGGAGGGUGCAAGCGUUAAUCGGAAUUACUGGGCGUAAAGCGCACGCAGGCGGUCUGUCAAGUCGGAUGUGAAAUCCCCGGGCUUAACCUGGGAACUGCAUUCGAAACUGGCAGGCUAGAGUCUUGUAGAGGGGGUAGAAUUCCAGGUGUAGCGGUGAAAUGCGUAGAGAUCUGGAGGAAUACCGGUGGCGAAGGCGGCCCCUGGGACAAAGCUGACGCUCAGGUGCGAAAGCGUGGGGAGCGAAACAGGAUUAGGAUACC